GGAGAAAUGGCAGAGUGGUCGAAUGCACUGGUCUUGAAAACCAGCGAGGGUAACACCUCCGGGGGUUCGAAUCCCUCUUUCUCCGCAA
This 88-nucleotide transfer RNA is filed under the name Flavobacteriales bacterium. Its description in RNAcentral is "tRNA-Ser". It matches the Rfam family "tRNA". Rfam says of the family: Transfer RNA (tRNA) molecules are approximately 80 nucleotides in length. The record is from RNAcentral. Lineage: Bacteria; Pseudomonadati; Bacteroidota; Flavobacteriia; Flavobacteriales.